GCCUGACCACUGUCUUCUCCGGACGAGGACGACAGAUGUCGGGUUGCUCCCCCCCCACAACACCAGUGAAUCACAAGAUUAAAUGAUGACGACAGCAGCAGCAAUGAACAAAAACAAACCUCCCAGGACGGUUUUCAUUACAAUGAAGAAACAAAAUGUGACAUGCUGGCGCUAUUUGUAAUCUUUUAUCGCUGUCAUUUAUUUAAACUAAUAAUUUAUUUCAUUGAUUCGCACCUGCGACCUUCAACGUUUGAAGCUUUUCACUGGUCUGAACAGUUUUUCGACGAUCUCUGUUGUGGACCACUGAAAACAUUUCCUGAGUUUUGAGUCAGUGCAGUUUCUUGACCGUGUUGGAUGCACACAUGAACUUGGGUCAUGCAACCAUCUCAGAGUGUUGAUUUUCACUACUUUGGGUGUUUUCGUGACGCUGGCCUACGAGAGAGCAGCCACAUGGUUUCUCACGUAUGAAGCGUUCAGUCGAGGUUUGUAAAGUCCAAUGACAGAACGGCCCGAUGGUUUCUCUCCAGUUAGUGCAGCCACGUGGUUU
Molecule: long non-coding RNA, 547 nt
Organism: Thalassophryne amazonica
Lineage: Eukaryota; Metazoa; Chordata; Actinopteri; Batrachoidiformes; Batrachoididae
Exons: 4
Source: RefSeq, a predicted model, not a curated record